This 568-nucleotide ribosomal RNA is filed under the name Pantoea sp. DJM4D10. Its description in RNAcentral is "bacterial SSU rRNA". It matches the Rfam family "Bacterial small subunit ribosomal RNA", at positions 903 to 1472 of the family's 1533-position model. The record is from RNAcentral. Lineage: Bacteria; Pseudomonadati; Pseudomonadota; Gammaproteobacteria; Enterobacterales; Erwiniaceae.
AAUGAAUUGACGGGGGCCCGCACAAGCGGUGGAGCAUGUGGUUUAAUUCGAUGCAACGCGAAGAACCUUACCUACUCUUGACAUCCAGCGAACUUUCCAGAGAUGGAUUGGUGCCUUCGGGAACGCUGAGACAGGUGCUGCAUGGCUGUCGUCAGCUCGUGUUGUGAAAUGUUGGGUUAAGUCCCGCAACGAGCGCAACCCUUAUCCUUUGUUGCCAGCGAUUCGGUCGGGAACUCAAAGGAGACUGCCGGUGAUAAACCGGAGGAAGGUGGGGAUGACGUCAAGUCAUCAUGGCCCUUACGAGUAGGGCUACACACGUGCUACAAUGGCGCAUACAAAGAGAAGCGACCUCGCGAGAGCAAGCGGACCUCAUAAAGUGCGUCGUAGUCCGGAUCGGAGUCUGCAACUCGACUCCGUGAAGUCGGAAUCGCUAGUAAUCGUGGAUCAGAAUGCCACGGUGAAUACGUUCCCGGGCCUUGUACACACCGCCCGUCACACCAUGGGAGUGGGUUGCAAAAGAAGUAGGUAGCUUAACCUCCGGGAGGGCGCUUACCACUUUGUGAUUCAU